Molecule: ribosomal RNA, 313 nt
Filed under: uncultured eukaryote
Lineage: Eukaryota
Description: partial 18S ribosomal RNA
Rfam family: Eukaryotic small subunit ribosomal RNA
Source: RNAcentral
CCCUUAGAUGUUCUGGGCCGCACGCGCGCUACACUGACGGAGUCAACGAGUUGUCCUGCAUCGGAAGGUGUGGGUAAUCUUUUGAAACUUCGUCGUGCUGGGGAUAGAUCUUUGCAAUUUUCGAUCUUGAACGAGGAAUUCCUAGUAAGCGUGAUUCAUCAGAUCGCGUUGAUUACGUCCCUGCCCUUUGUACACACCGCCCGUCGCACCUACCGAUUGAAUGGUCCGGUGAAGCCUCCGGAUUGGCGCGCACCUCGGUGCCGCCGAGAAGUUGGCUAAACCUUACCAUUUAGAGGAAGGUGAAGUCGUAACA